Molecule: long non-coding RNA, 683 nt
Filed under: Sinocyclocheilus grahami
Lineage: Eukaryota; Metazoa; Chordata; Actinopteri; Cypriniformes; Cyprinidae
Description: lncRNA (ENSSGRG00000040851.1)
Source: RNAcentral
UAUCAGUAUGAGAUAGCAGUUGCAGUGUAAGGAUGCAGAAAGAGAUUGUCAUGCUUGAAAUUAUGUGCCUGCUUCAAUCAUUGGACGGUGGAAGAAAGCAUGCAGCUGUUUGAAUGAUUGAAAGACAGCUGAUCUGCAUCAAGAGAGAAAUGGCAUCGGAUGAGAAGCUCAGCCAGUGUUUGGUUUCAUACCAGUGUCUUUCCUCUUCAUCUGUGACAAACUGUGAUUCAAGCUCCUCUGAGUUGAUCAUUCCUCAGACAGUUGCAAACACUACCUUGUUGUCAUGGGCGGAGACUAUACAAUGCAUGAUCCUUUGCCUUUCUAGGCAUUGUGUGAGUGUUCACUGUGGUGUUUGGUGAGGUUAAGCCGUGUUUCAGUAUUUGUGAGAUGUUAGAUCUGAAUUUAUGAGGAACCUUGCACCAACAGGUGAAAUUAUAGUUUCUGAAGUGUAGACGGUUCUAAUUUGAUUAUUGCUGUAAAAUUGUUCAAGUGUCUUGUUGUAUUACAAUUUUGUGGCUUUUAAAUGUUGUACAUUAAUAGCCUUUUGGUUUUUGUGUCUUGUCUUCAAAUAAGAUGCUUUUUAUUUAUUUUUUUCCCUUCUGUGAGCAUCAGCAUGACUCUUACAUUCUAUUACUGAAGUGACCAUGGUUUUAGACCCUAUACCGAAUCUAUCAAUAUUUAAC